This 125-nucleotide small RNA is filed under the name Marmota monax (woodchuck). The record is from RNAcentral. Lineage: Eukaryota; Metazoa; Chordata; Mammalia; Rodentia; Sciuridae.
GCUGGGCGCAGUGGUGCAGGCCUGUAAUCCCAGCACCUGUGGGGGCUGAGGCAGGAGGAUCAUGAGUUCAAAGCCAACCUCAGCAAAAGUGAGGGGCUAAGCAACUCAGUGAGAUCCUGUCUCUA